UAUCUUCGGGGCAGGGUGAAAUUCCCGACCGGCGGUGAUGAGGCAACUCUAAGCCCGCGAGCCUUGUUUUAGGGGCAGGAUUUGGUGCGAUUCCAAAGCCGACAGUAAAGUCUGGAUGGGAGAAGGUG
RNAcentral lists this non-coding RNA (128 nucleotides) under Bacillus massilinigeriensis. RNAcentral's name for it is "FMN riboswitch (RFN element)". It matches the Rfam family "FMN riboswitch aptamer (RFN element)". Rfam says of the family: The RFN element is a highly conserved domain that is found frequently in the 5'-untranslated regions of prokaryotic mRNAs that encode for flavin mononucleotide (FMN) biosynthesis and transport proteins. Lineage: Bacteria; Bacillati; Bacillota; Bacilli; Caryophanales; Bacillaceae. The record is from RNAcentral.